This 621-nucleotide long non-coding RNA is filed under the name Bos indicus x Bos taurus (hybrid cattle). Its description in RNAcentral is "lncRNA (ENSBIXG00000001263.1)". The record is from RNAcentral. Lineage: Eukaryota; Metazoa; Chordata; Mammalia; Artiodactyla; Bovidae.
CGUGAGGCUUGGUCAGGUCUUGACCUACCCAUGUAACGCCUGGCAUCUGGAGCAUGCUGCCAUCCCUGGGCUAAGGUAGAUGUCCACCCUCAGGCUCACGUGUGGUUCCCUUGCUUCUGCCUGGCCCAGAUACCUCUAUCUGGCAACUCCACCAUCCCUGUUUCCCCUACCGUGCUCACACUUACUCCUGCCAAUAUAUUUCAUCUCCUGCUCCUUCUCCUCCAGGCGCCUUGCUGAGCACACAGGUGUUUCUGGACCCUUUUUCGAGUCUGGUUUUUCUGCAAGCCGAGUCUAGAUCUUUGGCACCAAUGGCGGCUGCCUCAGGCCCCCUCGGAGGUGAGCUGCGGUAAGCCUCCUGCUUCUAGAAUAUCCAUCUGCAGUUGCCAUUCCAUGAUACCCUGGCAUCUAAGAAGGAGUUUAGGAUCUUGCCUACCAUCUUUAGCUAUUACUUUAAGGGGAGAGGAUAUGUGCUCUGAAUUCCAACAGCCACCCAUCCAUCGUAUAGGGUUUCUGGAGCACCUCCCUCUCCACUGGUCCCCUAAGCCUUUCUCCACAAGACCCUGCAGCAGGAUGGAUUCUCUUGGAUCUUUCCAACGUGGUGCUGGAUUCAAUUCAGACUAA